CAUUAAAAACCCUAAAAAUUUGUUUAAUAAAAAGACAUUUACACCAUUUUAGAUUCGUCUAAACAUAAAAUAGAUUGAAGAAUUUAGUUCUUGGUCCUACUAUAACGCACCCCUCCUGUCUUGUCUCUAUCAUCCUCUCCUUCUUUUCCUCUCUCCUCAUCUAUUUGUGCUUCUUGUAACACAUCUUUCUCACUUGCACAAUCAUGCAACCUUAGUUUUUUCCCUAUGAUUUUGCCUCAAAAUUAUCACCCAUUUUUGUGGGUACUUUUUAUUUUGCGUUAAGGUGGUGUUUUUGCUCAUAAUUUUUCUGGGCACCUUUAGUUUUUGGGUUGAGGUGGUGUUUUUGCUCAUAUUUUCACCCAUUUUUCUGGGUUAAGGUGAUGUUUUUGGCGCACCCAUUUUUCUGGGUACUUUUGAUUUUGGGUUAAAGUUGUGUUCUUGCUCAUAAUUUUUAUAGUUUAACUGAAUUUUAUCAUGGCUUUGAAGAAAGUUACUGAGAAUUUCUCGAAGAGUUUGAUUGAUGAGGUUCAUAAAUGGGGUUCUAUGAAACAAACAGGAGUAACUCUUAGGUAUAUGAUGGAAUUUGGGUCUAAACCAAUUGAUCGUAAUUUGUUGAUUUCUGCUCAAUUUCUUCAUAAAGAGCUUCCCAUUCGAAUUGCACGUAGAGCUAUUGAACUUGAGAGUCUUCCUUAUGGUUUGUCACUUAAACCUGCUGUUUUGAAGGUGCAUGAUUGGUAUGUAGAUUCUUUUCGGGAUCUUAGAUCAUUCCCUGACAUCAAGGAUAAAAAAGAUGAACUAGAGUUCACCCGAAUGAUUGAGAUGAUUAAAGUAAGACAUAAUAAUGUUGUCCCUAUGAUGGCCAUGGGGGUCCAACAGUUGAAGAAAGGCAUGGAUCCCAAGAUUGUUUAUGAAGAUUUGGUUGAAAUCCAUCAGUUCCUUGAUCGCUUUUAUAUGUCCAGAAUAGGGAUCCGUAUGCUCAUAGGGCAGCAUGUGGCCUUGCAUGAUCCAAAUCCUCCUCCUGAUCGUAUAGGCUACAUACAUACAAAAAUGUCUCCUCUAGAGGUUGCUAGAAAUGCUAGUGAGGAUGCUCGUGCAAUUUGCAUGCGUCAUUAUGGCAGUGCACCUGAAAUUGAUAUUUAUGGAGAUCUCAACUUUACAUUUCCGUAUGUACCUUCACAUUUACACAUUAUGGUUUUUGAGUUGGUGAAGAAUUCCUUGCGUGCUGUCCAAGAGCGCUUUAUGGAUUCAGACAAAGUAGCUCCUCCUAUUCGGAUUAUAGUAGCUGAUGGAAUAGAGGAUGUCACAAUUAAGUAUAGGUGUCAGAUGAAGGGGGUGGAAUUCGAAGAAGUGGUCUCCCUAGGAUUUUCACAUACCUGUAUAGUACUGCUGAAAACCCAUUGAGUGAAGACACUGAUCUUGGAACUGGUGAAAAUGUAACUAUGGCUGGAUAUGGAUAUGGGCUUCCCAUAAGUCGAUUAUAUGCCCGUUAUUUUGGAGGUGACCUGCAAAUUAUCUCAAUGGAAGGAUAUGGUACAGAUGCCUAUCUUCAUUUGUCUCGGUUGGGAGGUUCUCAAGAACCUCUGCCAUAAUAGCACAGCUGAUUUUUAAAUUGUAUUUAAAGUUGUAAUGAUCUUCUCAUUAAGAUGAUGAUUAUGAGAUAUAAGCAUGUAUUACUAUGGAUGCUUUAGAUUUAUAUGAUGUAUGUAUUGUUGUUCUUGUAA
Beta vulgaris subsp. vulgaris (sugar beet) is the source of this 1721-nucleotide RNA transcript. It is a transcript of the gene named pyruvate dehydrogenase (acetyl-transferring) kinase, mitochondrial, with no coding region annotated. The record is from RefSeq and is a predicted model, not a curated record. The transcript is spliced from 6 exons. NCBI's taxonomy places the organism in Eukaryota, Viridiplantae, Streptophyta, Magnoliopsida, Caryophyllales, Amaranthaceae.